GCGGGUAAACCUCGUCCAGACUCCUACGGGAGUCGAACCACACCCCCGAUUCUAAUUGCAGACAGACUUCAUCCGGACUCCUACGGGGGUCGGACUUCACCCCUGACUUCAACCGUAGGCAGACUUCAUCCGGACUCCUACGGGAGCCGGACUCCGCCCACGACUCCAAUUGCAGGUAAACUUCGUCUGGACUCCUAUGGGAGCCGGACUCCGCUCGUG
RNAcentral lists this long non-coding RNA (219 nucleotides) under Elaeis guineensis (African oil palm). RNAcentral describes it as "long non-coding RNA (EGUI_LNC082497)". Lineage: Eukaryota; Viridiplantae; Streptophyta; Magnoliopsida; Arecales; Arecaceae. The record is from RNAcentral.